Molecule: ribosomal RNA, 270 nt
Filed under: uncultured bacterium
Lineage: Bacteria
Description: partial 16S ribosomal RNA
Rfam family: Bacterial small subunit ribosomal RNA
Source: RNAcentral
UUUGAUGGCGACCGGCGCACGGGUGAGUAACACGUAUCCAACCUGCCGAUGACUCGGGGAUAGCCUUUCGAAAGAAAGAUUAAUACCCGAUGGCAUAGUUCUUCCGCAUGGUAGAACUAUUAAAGAAUUUCGGUCAUCGAUGGGGAUGCGUUCCAUUAGAUUGUUGGCGGGGUAACGGCCCACCAAGCCUUCGAUGGAUAGGGGUUCUGAGAGGAAGGUCCCCCACAUUGGAACUGAGACACGGUCCAAACUCCUACGGGAGGCAGCAUG